UACAGAGGGUGCAAGCGUUGCUCGGAAUUAUUGGGCGUAAAGGGUAGGUAGGUGGUCUUAUUUGUCUGAGGUGAAAGCCUUGAGCUUAACUCAAGAAGUGCCUCGGAAACGGUAGGACUAGAGUUCUGGAGAGGGUCGUGGAAUUCCCGGUGUAGCGGUGAAAUGCGUAGAGAUCGGGAGGAACACCAGGGGCGUAAGCGGCGACCUGGACAGAAACUGACACUAAACUACGAAAGCGUGGGGAGCAAACAGG
This 253-nucleotide ribosomal RNA is filed under the name uncultured bacterium. Its description in RNAcentral is "partial 16S ribosomal RNA". It matches the Rfam family "Bacterial small subunit ribosomal RNA", at positions 524 to 776 of the family's 1533-position model. The record is from RNAcentral.